GUAGAGAAGCCACCAGUGUACAAGCCACCAGUAGAGAAACCCCCUGUCUACAAGCCACCAGUUGAGAAGCCUCCAGUUUACAAGCCACCAGUUGAGAAGCCCCCUGUGUACAAACCCCCAGUUUACAAGCCCCCAGUUUACAAGCCACCAGUUGAGAAACCUCCAGUGUACAAACCUCCAGUUGAAAAGCCACCAGUUUAUAAACCUCCUGUCGAGAAGCCUCCCGUUUACGAGCCUCCUCACCACCCGAAGUACCCUCCAACAGGUUUCUAGAACUUGAUAUUAAGUAAAUGCUAAAUAUGUUAAAUAAGAGAUUAUUGGAAUCUUUAUUUUAAUCCCUUGUUUACAUUGCUUUUGUCAAGACAAG
This 367-nucleotide long non-coding RNA is filed under the name Trifolium pratense (red clover). Its description in RNAcentral is "long non-coding RNA (TPRA_LNC002414)". Lineage: Eukaryota; Viridiplantae; Streptophyta; Magnoliopsida; Fabales; Fabaceae. The record is from RNAcentral.